This is a non-coding RNA of Caenorhabditis elegans, 188 nucleotides long. Lineage: Eukaryota; Metazoa; Nematoda; Chromadorea; Rhabditida; Rhabditidae. The record is from Ensembl.
GUCACAUUUUCGUACAAGAAUCGUGUCGCCUACUGUAUGGCACGUGCUUCACCGGGUUCACCAAAUUGCAAAUGACACUGACGAUAACAAUCUUCUUCUUUUCUUCGUCUUUUAUUGUACCCGAAAAUCGAAAACAAAUGUACGCGCCCAGAAGUUUGGCGAUCAGUUUUCAGACAAACUAUUCGAGU